ACUAUCGCAUGCGGUGCUUUUUAAUCGAGGCAAGAGCCCAAAAGCUCCCGUUGUUGAAAAGUUUUGAAUUAAUCGCUUGUUUACUCAGAAAAAAACCUUAAGAAAAAAAGUUGGGGUCCCUCCGGCGGGGGCCCCUGUUACGGGCCGUCUGUUCCCGCCGGGGCAACGUUUAGGUAUGUUCACAGGGUUGUUGAGUUGUAUAACUCGGUAAUGAUUCCGUUGGGGUGACCAGCGGAGGGAUCAUUA
Molecule: ribosomal RNA, 246 nt
Filed under: Fusarium sp. KC-2010ba
Lineage: Eukaryota; Fungi; Ascomycota; Sordariomycetes; Hypocreales; Nectriaceae
Description: partial 18S ribosomal RNA
Source: RNAcentral